Long non-coding RNA from Hydra vulgaris (swiftwater hydra), 480 nucleotides. RefSeq lists it as uncharacterized. The record is from RefSeq and is a predicted model, not a curated record. Lineage: Eukaryota; Metazoa; Cnidaria; Hydrozoa; Anthoathecata; Hydridae.
UAGUUUCUGUUUACAUGUACUUUGUUCACCUUUUUUUGCCUUAAAAAGCGUGAUUCAAGAAACAUGCUUGUCAAUAUUUGUGCAAAAACAAAGAUCUUACUUGAAAAACAAUUUUCAGAGUUAAGAACAACACAAAGCAAAAAUGAAAUUCGUCUUACUUCUUGCUGUUGUAAUAAUGGCUAUUUAUUAUGUUGAUGCUAAAGAAUGUUCAUACGACGAAAAAAAAUGCGGAGACGAAUGUAUUCAUUUGACGGAUUACCGCUGCUGCGAUGGAAAACCAAGAAAAAACAAUGAAUACGGAGAAUGUGGAAAUACGUGUUUCCACUUUACUAACGAAAUAUGUUGUAAUGGCGUUCCUCUUCCAUCAGACGAAUGGAAGAAUUGUGGAGGAGUUUGCAAAAAAGUGAAGCAAUGUUGAUCAAUUUGGAAAUUUUUGUUGUCGAAUAUUGAAUUGGUUAAAUAAAAUUUAUUUGAUUAUUA